CGCGGCCUAUCAGCUUGUUGGUGGGGUAGUGGCCUACCAAGGCGACGACGGGUAGCCGGCCUGAGAGGGUGACCGGCCACACUGGGACUGAGACACGGCCCAGACUCCUACGGGAGGCAGCAGUGGGGAAUAUUGCGCAAUGGGCGGAAGCCUGACGCAGCGACGCCGCGUGGGGGAUGACGGCCUUCGGGUUGUAAACCUCUUUCAGCAGGGACGAAGCGAAAGUGACGGUACCUGCAGAAGAAGCACCGGCCAACUACGUGCCAGCAGCCGCGGUAAUACGUAGGGUGCAAGCGUUGUCCGGAAUUAUUGGGCGUAAAGAGCUCGUAGGCGGUCUGUCGCGUCGGCUGUGAAAUCCCGAGGCUCAACCUCGGGUCUGCAGUCGAUACGGGCAAACUGGAGUACUGCAGGGGAGACUGGAAUUCCUGGUGUAGCGGUGAAAUGCGCAGAUAUCAGGAGGAACACCGGUGGCGAAGGCGGGUCUCUGGGCAGUAACUGACGCUGAGGAGCGAAAGCGUGGGGAGCGAACAGGAUUAGAUACCCUGGUAGUCCACGCCGUAAACGUUGGGCGCUAGGUGUGGGGCUCAUUCCACGAGUUCCGUGCCGCAGCUAACGCAUUAAGCGCCCCGCCUGGGGAGUACGG
RNAcentral lists this ribosomal RNA (643 nucleotides) under uncultured bacterium. RNAcentral describes it as "bacterial SSU rRNA". It matches the Rfam family "Bacterial small subunit ribosomal RNA", at positions 232 to 885 of the family's 1533-position model. The record is from RNAcentral.